Molecule: ribosomal RNA, 261 nt
Filed under: uncultured prokaryote
Description: partial 16S ribosomal RNA
Rfam family: Bacterial small subunit ribosomal RNA
Source: RNAcentral
UACGGAGGAUCCUAGUGUUAUCCGGAUUUAUUGGGUUUAAAGGGAGCGUAGGCGGGAGGUCAAGUCAGCUGUGAAAUGUAUCUGCUUAACGGGUACACUGCAGUUGAAACUGGUUUUCUUGAGUGCGUAAGAGGCAGGCGGAAUUCGUUGUGUAGCGGUGAAAUGCUUAGAUAUGACGAGGAACUCCUAUUGCAAAGGCAGCUUGCUGGGUCGUUACUGACGCUGAUGCUCGAAGGUGCGGGGAUCAAACAGGAUUAGAUA